This 253-nucleotide ribosomal RNA is filed under the name uncultured bacterium. RNAcentral's name for it is "partial 16S ribosomal RNA". It matches the Rfam family "Bacterial small subunit ribosomal RNA", at positions 524 to 776 of the family's 1533-position model. The record is from RNAcentral.
UACGUAGGGUGCGAGCGUUAAUCGGAAUUACUGGGCGUAAAGCGUGCGCAGGCGGUUUUGUAAGUCAGAUGUGAAAUCCCCGGGCUUAACCUGGGAACUGCGUUUGAAACUACAAGGCUAGAGUGUGGCAGAGGGGGGUGGAAUUCCCGGUGUAGCGGUGGAAUGCGUAGAGAUCGGGAAGAACAUCGGUGGCGAAGGCGGCCUGCUGGGCUGUUGCUGACGCUGAGGCGCGACAGCGUGGGGAGCAAACAGG